Long non-coding RNA from Homo sapiens (human), 347 nucleotides. RefSeq lists it as uncharacterized. Lineage: Eukaryota; Metazoa; Chordata; Mammalia; Primates; Hominidae. The record is from RefSeq and is a predicted model, not a curated record. The transcript is spliced from 3 exons.
AAGAACAUACAAACAUUUGCUUCUCAUUACAAAGAGAGACACAGCAGAGACACACUAGAAGAGCAGGAAGGCAGCCCGGGAAAGGCCGAGACAUGGCUUAGGAGGUUCAGGAAGACAAGACUGCAAUGCCUCAGACAAUCCUCAAUUUUUACAAAGAGCUUCUAUAAACCCACCCAGAGUCCCUCAGAAAGCCAAAUGCUCGGACUGGGUAACAGCACCAGCCACAGGCACCUGCUUUCUUCCAAGAAGGAGCUCUCACCUGUCACUCAAAAGCACCUGCACUGAGAAGUUGGGAGAGCCAGAGAAGACUCCUGCCCUUUCUGAAUUUUACCAAUUAUCUAUUCAAA